UGAUGAUCGGUGCUUGCACCGAGAUUCAACAUGGGAACGAGUGGCGGACGGGUGAGUAACACGUGGGUAACCUGCCCUUAAGUGGGGGAUAACAUUUGGAAACAGAUGCUAAUACCGCAUAGAUCCAAGAACCGCAUGGUUCUUGGCUGAAAGAUGGCGUAAGCUAUCGCUUUUGGAUGGACCCGCGGCGUAUUAGCUAGUUGGUGAGGUAAUGGCUCACCAAGGCGAUGAUACGUAGCCGAACUGAGAGGUUGAUCGGCCACAUUGGGACUGAGACACGGCCCAAACUCCUACGGGAGGCAGCAGUAGGGAAUCUUCCACAAUGGACGCAAGUCUGAUGGAGCAACGCCGCGUGAGUGAAGAAGGCUUUCGGGUCGUAAAACUCUGUUGUUGGAGAAGAAUGGUCGGCAGAGUAACUGUUGUCGGCGUGACGGUAUCCAACCAGAAAGCCACGGCUAACUACGUGCCAGCAGCCGCGGUAAUACGUAGGUGGCAAGCGUUAUCCGGAUUUAUUGGGCGUAAAGCGAGCGCAGGCGGUUUUUUAAGUCUGAUGUGAAAGCCCUCGGCUUAACCGAGGAAGCGCAUCGGAAACUGGGAAACUUGAGUGCAGAAGAGGACAGUGGAACUCCAUGUGUAGCGGUGAAAUGCGUAGAUAUAUGGAAGAACACCAGUGGCGAAGGCGGCUGUCUGGUCUGUAACUGACGCUGAGGCUCGAAAGCAUGGGUAGCGAACAGGAUUAGAUACCCCUGGUAGUCCAUGCCGUAAACGAUGAAUGCUAGGUGUUGGGAGGGG
RNAcentral lists this ribosomal RNA (792 nucleotides) under Lacticaseibacillus paracasei. Its description in RNAcentral is "bacterial SSU rRNA". It matches the Rfam family "Bacterial small subunit ribosomal RNA", at positions 67 to 832 of the family's 1533-position model. Lineage: Bacteria; Bacillati; Bacillota; Bacilli; Lactobacillales; Lactobacillaceae. The record is from RNAcentral.